UUCCCGGGCCUUGUACACACGCCGUCACACACGAAAGUUGGCAAUACCCGAAGCCGGUGGCUAACCGCAAGGGAGGGAGCCGUCGAAGGUAGGGUUGAUGAUUGGGGUG
This 109-nucleotide ribosomal RNA is filed under the name uncultured bacterium. Its description in RNAcentral is "partial 16S ribosomal RNA". The record is from RNAcentral.